UACGGAGGAUGCGAGCGUUAUCUGGAUUUAUUGGGUUUAAAGGGUGCGCAGGCGGCACGGCAAGCCGGCGGUCAAAUCGCGGGGCUCAACCCCGCCCAGCCGUCGGAACUGCCGGGCUGGAGUGGGCGAGAAGUGCGCGGAAUGCGUGGUGUAGCGGUGAAAUGCAUAGAUAUCACGCAGAACUCCGAUUGCGAAGGCAGCGCACCAGCGCCCUACUGACGCUCAGGCACGAAAGCGUGGGUAUCGAACAGG
This 252-nucleotide ribosomal RNA is filed under the name uncultured bacterium. Its description in RNAcentral is "partial 16S ribosomal RNA". It matches the Rfam family "Bacterial small subunit ribosomal RNA", at positions 524 to 776 of the family's 1533-position model. The record is from RNAcentral.